This 1062-nucleotide long non-coding RNA is filed under the name Monodelphis domestica (gray short-tailed opossum). RNAcentral's name for it is "lncRNA (ENSMODG00000048712.1)". The record is from RNAcentral. Lineage: Eukaryota; Metazoa; Chordata; Mammalia; Didelphimorphia; Didelphidae.
GGCUACACGGACACUAUUCAGGCCCAACGCGCCUCCACUGGCCCCGGACGUACAGAGAAAUAUCCCACGGAGCACCCUGGACCCCAACUGCGCAGGCGCUUGCGACCCCUUCAGCCCGCCUUCUAAUUCCGAUUUCUCAUUGGUCGGACGUGCCUCUGCCGAGGUGAUUGGGUACCGGUCUUCCCGGCAUGACUUCGAUUGGCUUAAGAAGCCCAGGCAAGGGGCGGGACAAAACUCUGUUCUUCCGCUUGGAGGGGCGGGUGGUUGCCAGGGACAGCCGGGCCUGGGAUGGAUGUAAAGGACCCCUGUUCCCUAGAGAAGCCCAACUUGGAUCUGUCUCCAAGUCUGGAAAGAAGAGGAGUGCCAUGUGGCUGCCUGGUCCCUUACCUUUAACGACGCCCCCUUAUCCUGGGCUGUGCCUGGAUUCGACUUCGAUUUGUUUCUCCAGGGGCGCCUCCUCAAUCCUGGGGUGUUGAACUGGGCCUGGACGGCAAAACCUAGAAAAGAACCCUCUAGCUACGAGGCUCAGGGAGGAGCGGCGCUAAAGGGCACUGGGGCCGCCUUUGGGGCGUUACGGAGUCGGACGCUCGGCUCCGUAGCUAAAGGCGGGCUGGUCCCGUUAGUCUUAGCCGGACUCGGGGCGCAUGCGCCUGGGUCCUGUGAGUGCCUCAGCCCAAACUAAAAGCGCGUGUAGCCUUGGCCUGGUCGGACAGGUGCAGCAGACAAGGGAAGGUUCCUCCUUUUUUGCACCUGAGGUUCUCCCCGUCUCAGGAGAUCAAGCAGGCAAAAGGAGGUGGAAGAUACCUUGUGCUGGCACAGAUAGAAGUUGUUGCUUUGGAGGUGAUGGAAGAUUAGAAGAUGCCUGGCCAGGUAUUUCAGUGCACUCAGAAGGAGAUGGAAGAGUCAUAGAGUCAGAGAGAGGUUCACUUCCUCUAUUUACCUGAGGAUGCUGGGAAUGGAGAUUACAGUGAGAAUGAAGAUCAUGGUUAGGAAUUGUAAAGCAUAGAGAAAGAUAUAAUGAUAACAUGAUCAAUUGCAAUGACAGAAAUGAUGAAAGGAACA